CCGAAUUGUCGACACGAGUUGUUGCUGGUCCUCAAAUGGGGGCAUGUGCACGCUCUGUUCGCACAUCCACUCACACCUGUGCACCCUCCAUAGUUCUGCAGCCCUGGGGGCUCUGUCCCCCCCUGCCGUGGUUCUAUGUAUUUACACACACACUGUAACACGGUUUUGUGGAAUGUACGCAGCGUUUAACGCAAUACAAUA
Molecule: unclassified non-coding RNA, 201 nt
Filed under: uncultured Thelephoraceae
Lineage: Eukaryota; Fungi; Basidiomycota; Agaricomycetes; Thelephorales; Thelephoraceae
Description: sequence contains ITS1
Source: RNAcentral